This 461-nucleotide ribosomal RNA is filed under the name uncultured bacterium. Its description in RNAcentral is "bacterial SSU rRNA". It matches the Rfam family "Bacterial small subunit ribosomal RNA", at positions 92 to 588 of the family's 1533-position model. The record is from RNAcentral.
GGAGCGGCGGACGGGUUAGUAACGCGUGGGAACGUACCCAGAUCUAAGGAAUAGCCACUGGAAACGGUGAGUAAUACCUUAUACGCCCUUCGGGGGAAAGAUUUAUCGGAUUUGGAUCGGCCCGCGUUAGAUUAGAUAGUUGGUGGGGUAAUGGCCUACCAAGUCUACGAUCUAUAGCUGGUUUUAGAGGAUGAUCAGCAACACUGGGACUGAGACACGGCCCAGACUCCUACGGGAGGCAGCAGUGGGGAAUCUUGGACAAUGGGCGCAAGCCUGAUCCAGCCAUGCCGCGUGAGUGAUGAAGGCCUUAGGGUCGUAAAGCUCUUUCGCCAGAGAUGAUAAUGACAGUAUCUGGUAAAGAAACCCCGGCUAACUCCGUGCCAGCAGCCGCGGUAAUACGGAGGGUGCAAGCGUUGUUCGAAAUCAUUGGGCGUAAAGCGCACGCAGGUGGCCAUUUAAGU